AUGGAUAUGGUCACUAACAUCCUUCGCUGCUCCAUUGGGCGGUUCCCGAUCAAGUAUCUAGGCCUCCCGUUGACCAUCUGCCGGCAAUCUGCGGCACAGCUUCAGGGACUUGUCGAUCACAUCGCGGCAAGCCUGCCCACAUGGCGUGCAUCAGCUCUGCCGAAGAGCGGCCGGCUGCUCCUCGUCAAGUCUGUCCUGUCGGCGAUGCCAAUCCAUGCGAUGUUGGCGUUCGAGCUUCCGGCCAAGACGAUCAAGGCUAUCAAUAAAAUUAUACGAGGAUUCCUCUGGUGUGGCAAAGCCGAAGCGAAUGGCGGCAACUGUGCGGUGGCAUGGCCGGCGGUCUGUACCCCUAUGUGGGCUGGUGGCCUGGGCGUGCCGGAUAUACAGUGGAUGAACACAGCCAUGCAGGUUAGGUGGCCGUGGCUAGCUCGGACCGACAACUCGAGGCCAUGGAGCGAGUUCAUGAUGCCAAUACCGAAAGAAGCCACACAGUUAUGCAAUGCGGCAAUGCACACGACGAUCGGUGAUGGCAGGGAUGCUUUGUUUUGGGAGGACAGGUGUAAGUGCAUCUAG
This 573-nucleotide ribosomal RNA is filed under the name Triticum aestivum (bread wheat). RNAcentral's name for it is "partial small subunit ribosomal RNA". Lineage: Eukaryota; Viridiplantae; Streptophyta; Magnoliopsida; Poales; Poaceae. The record is from RNAcentral.